This 360-nucleotide ribosomal RNA is filed under the name Salmonella enterica subsp. enterica serovar Typhi. Its description in RNAcentral is "bacterial SSU rRNA". It matches the Rfam family "Bacterial small subunit ribosomal RNA", at positions 1077 to 1438 of the family's 1533-position model. The record is from RNAcentral. Lineage: Bacteria; Pseudomonadati; Pseudomonadota; Gammaproteobacteria; Enterobacterales; Enterobacteriaceae.
GGGUUAAGUCCCGCAACGAGCGCAACCGUUAUCUUUUGUAACCAGCGGUCCGGCCGGGAACUCAAAGGAGACUGCCAGUGAUAAACUGGAGGAAGGUGGGGAUGACGUCAAGUCAUCAUGGCCUUACGACCAGGGCUACACACGUGCUACAAUGGCGCAUACAAAGAGAAGCGACCUCGCGAGAGCAAGCGGACCUCAUAAAGUGCGUCGUAGUCCGGAUUGGAGUCUGCAACUCGACUCCAUGAAGUCGGAAUCGCUAGUAAUCGUGGAUCAGAAUGCCACGGUGAAUACGUUCCCGGGCCUUGUACACACCGCCCGUCACACCAUGGGAGUGGGUUGCAAAAGAAGUAGGUAGCUUAA